Oncorhynchus gorbuscha (pink salmon) is the source of this 6253-nucleotide RNA transcript. It is a transcript of the gene named CDC42 binding protein kinase beta (DMPK-like), with no coding region annotated. The record is from RefSeq and is a predicted model, not a curated record. NCBI's taxonomy places the organism in Eukaryota, Metazoa, Chordata, Actinopteri, Salmoniformes, Salmonidae. The transcript is spliced from 39 exons.
UCCAUAGUCCCCGGUCUGGAUUCUUUUGCAAGGUAGGGAGAGACAAGGCUGGACACGAAUUUUGCCAUAUUACGCUCAAUAGUGAGAGACACCAGCUAGCUACUCGUAGAAGCUAGUAAGAAAAAAGGAUUCAUCUACGAAAAGACAGCCACUCCCCGAUUUUGGUGGACAUACCUCUAUUUAGCAGUGUUGAAGAACAUAUAUCGGGCAUGCGAGCGAGCAGAUAAUCCGAAGGAGAGAAUGGACGACCGGUCAACCUGAGAUUCAACUGGGGGAAACCCGACAUCCCAUUUUCUAGGUAGAAAGUACAGAUUUGUCGGGAUUAAAGCAAAUGGGACGCACUGGGCCUCGAGUCUGAGUGAAGGGAACACAGGGGCGACGCUAAAAACAAAGCAUUUUCUAUACAACAUGUCGGUCUUAUUUUUUUAGCUAGCUAGCUACUAGUACACGUCUAUAUAGCAAGUUGGAGACCGGGACUUCAGUGCUCCAAUAUUGGCCAAAUAAGUAUUUUUCGGUUGCGCUUGAAGGGGGCAGGGUUAGCUCGAUUUCUUCUCCCAUACUAACUCGGGGAGCGAUUCUUCGGCGAAGGGAGUGGUAGCUAAUUGAUAGAAAAAUGUCAGCGAAGGUGCGCCUGAAGAAGUUGGAGCAAUUGCUAGUGGACGGAACUCCAAAUAAUGCAAGUUCACUGAGCGUCGAGACCCUUCUGGAUAUAUUGAUAUGUUUGUACAACGAAUGCAGCAACUCUCCUUUAAAACGGGAGAAGCACGUGACAGACUUUCUGGAAUGGGUGAAGCCGUUCACCACUACCGUGAAGGAGAUGCGUCUGCACAGGGACGACUUCGAGAUGCUCAAGGUGAUCGGCAGGGGAGCAUUUGGCGAGGUUGCGGUGGUGAAGAUGAAAAACACGGAACGCGUGUACGCCAUGAAGAUCCUGAACAAGUGGGAGAUGUUGAAGAGAGCCGAGACGGCGUGUUUCCGCGAGGAGAGGAAUGUUCUGGUGAAUGGAGACUGCCAGUGGAUCACCACCCUACACUAUGCCUUCCAGGACGACAACUUCCUGUACCUGGUGAUGGACUACUAUGUGGGCGGUGACCUCUUGACCCUGCUCAGUAAGUUCGAGGACCGUCUCCCAGAGGACAUGUCCAAGUUCUAUGUGGCAGAGAUGGUGCUGGCCAUCCACUCUAUACACCAACAACACUACGUCCACAGAGAUAUCAAACCAGACAACGUGCUGUUAGACAUGAAGGGUCAUAUCCGUCUGGCCGACUUUGGCUCCUGCCUGAAAAUGAUGCAGGAUGGCACGGUCCAGUCAUCUGUGGCUGUAGGCACUCCGGACUACAUUUCCCCUGAGAUCCUGCAGGCCAUGGAGGACGGCAUGGGCAAGUACGGUCCAGAGUGUGACUGGUGGUCCCUAGGGGUCUGUAUGUACGAGAUGCUCUACGGGGAGACACCCUUCUAUGCAGAGUCCCUGGUGGAGACCUACGGCAAGAUCAUGAACCACGAGGAGCGUUUCCAGUUCCCCUCAAACAUCUGCGACGUGUCGGAGGACGCCAAGGACCUGAUCUCGCGCCUAAUCUGCGGCCGCGAGCGUCGCCUGGGCCAGAAUGGCAUCGGCGACUUCAAGGAUCACCCCUUCUUCGCCGGCAUCGACUGGGAACACAUCCGCUCCACUGAGGCGCCCUACAUCCCCGACGUCAGCUCCCCAUCUGACACCUCCAACUUUGACGUGGACGACGAUAUUCUUAAAAACCCGGACAUCGCUCCUCCAGUCACACACAGCGGUUUCACCGGGCAACAUCUGCCCUUCGUAGGCUUCACCUACACCACGGACAGCUGCUUCUCGGACCGCGGCAGUGUCAACAGGGCCGGCCUGUCCGAUGGGAGCUCCCAGGAUGGGGGAGGAGAAGAGGGGGUUCCCCCGGACCAGGAGGGGGGGCUGGAAGUGGAAGCCUUUGAGAGGAGGAUCCGCCGACUGGAGCAGGAGAAGCAGGAGCUGAACCGGAAGCUGCAGGAGUCCACUCAAGCAGUGCAGUCUCUCCACGGGCCGGGGCGCGGGGCCAGCACCCUGGGCCGGGACAAGGAGAUGAAGAAGCUCAACGAGGAGAUUGACCGGCUCAAGAAGAAACUGGCAGACUCUGAUAGGCUGGAGCACCAGCUAGAGGAGGCGGUGACUCUGCGCCAGGACUACGAGAGCUCCUCCUCCAAGCUGAAGGCCCUGGACAAACAGGUUAAAGCCCUGAGACAGGAGAAGGAGGAGAUCCACAAGCAACUGGUGGAGUCCCUGGAGCGCCUCAAGUCCCAGACCAAGGAGCUGAAGGAGGCCCACAGCCAGCGGAAGCUGGCCCUACAGGAGUUCUCUGAGCUAAGCGAGCGCAUGGCUGAGCUGCGUUCCACCAAGCAACGCCUCUCACGCCAGCUCCGCGACAAGGAGGAGGAGAUGGACGCUGCUGUGCAGAAGGUGGACGCCAUGCGUCAGGACAUCCGCAAGACCGAGAAGGCCCGCAAGGAGUUGGAGGCCCAGUUGGAGGAUGCCAAGGCAGAGGCGUCUAAGGAGCGAAAGCUGCGCGACCACAGCGAAGUCUAUUCUAAACAGCUGGAGAUGGAGCUUGAGACCCUCAAGGUGAAGCAGCAGGGUAGCGGGCGUGGGGCUGGGAGCAGCAGCCCAGAGCUGCAGCAGGAACUGUCCAAGGUGAAGUCUGAGCUGGACAAGAAGGUGCUGUUCUACGAGGAGGAGCUGGUGCGCCGCGAGGCCUCCCACACCAGUGAGCUCAAGGGCCUCCGGAAGGAGCUCCACGACUCAGAGGGCCAGCAGCUCUCCCUCCACAAGGAGCUGCUCAUGCUCAAGGACAAGCUGGAGAAAGCCAAGAGAGAGAGACAAACCGAGACGGAUGAGGCAGUGGGCGCUCUAAAGGACAAGUACGAGCGUGAGCGCAGCAUGCUGACCGAGGACAACCGCAAGCUGACCACAGAGGCUGACAGGCUGUGUACGUUUGUGGACAAGCUGACCGCUCAGAACCGCCAGCUGGAGGAUGAGCUGCAAGACUUGGCCUCUAAGAAGGAGAGCGUGGCUCACUGGGAAGCCCAGAUCGCUGAGAUCAUCCAGUGGGUGAGUGAUGAGAAGGAUGCCCGCGGCUACCUGCAGGCCCUGGCCUCCAAGAUGACUGAGGAGCUGGAGUCUCUCCGCAGCUCCAGCCUGGGCCCACGACCCCUGGACCCCCUGUGGAAGGUGCGACGCAGCCAGAAGCUGGACAUGUCGGCCCGUCUGGAGCUGCAGUCGGCCCUGGACGCCGAGAUACGGGCCAAGCAGCUGGUCCAGGAGGAGCUUCGCAAGGUCAAGGCCUCCAACAUCUCCUUCGAAAGCAAACUGAAGGAUUCAGAGUCCAGGAGCAGGGAUAUGGUGGAGCAGCUGGAGAUCAUGAAGAAGGACUUGGAGGAGAGCCGUUCCCGCUCAGACAAAGGUCUGAAACUGCCCGAUUUCCAGGACUCCAUUUUCGAGUACUUCAACACCUCUCCACUGGCCCACGGCCUGACGUUCAGAGAAUCGGUCUCUUCCUCAUCCGCAUCCUCUCUGCUAGCGUUUUGGGAUGAAACCAGCUCUGUCAGCGAGAUAGAUGCCACGCCCCAGAGGUCAGACGUCCCUUCCUCGUCGCCCUCCGUGGCCUCUGAGCAGGAUGAGCCAAUCCCCAAGCCCACUGCUGUUACCCCUACCGUCCCCUCCCCGGUCUAUCCAACAUCGCUGCUGACCACACCAAAGCCCAAAGCUCACCAGCUGAGCAUCAAGACCUUCUCCAGCCCCACCCAGUGCACGCACUGCACUUCCUUGAUGGUGGGUCUCAUCCGCCAGGGCUACGCCUGCGAAGUGUGCUCCUUCAUCUGCCAUGUAUCCUGUAAGGACAAUGCCCCCCAGGUGUGCCCCAUCCCCCCUGAGCAGGCCAAGAGGCCUCUGGGCAUCGACGUACAGAGGGGCAUCGGCACCGCCUACAAGGGCUUCGUCAGGAUCCCCAAGCCCACGGGGGUAAAGAAGGGCUGGCAACGGGCGUACGCCGUGGUGUGUGAUUGUAAACUCUUCCUGUACGAGGUGCCUGAGGGCAAGUCCACCCAGCCAGGCGUGGUGACCAGUCAGGUCCUGGACCUGAGAGAUGAGGAGUUUUCUGUCAGCUCUGUCCUGGCCUCAGACGUCAUCCACGCCACCCGCAAAGACGUCCCCUGCAUAUUCAGGGUGACGUCGUCCCUGCUGAGCUCGCCGGCGGGUGCCGUCUCCCUGCUUGUGCUGGCUGAGAGCGAGGUUGAGAAGAAGAAGUGGAUGGGCAUCCUGGAGAGCCUGCAGAGCAUCCUGGCCAAGAACCGCUUGAGGAACCGCGUAGUGCACGUCCUGCACGAGGCCUACGACUCCUCGCUGCCCGCCAUCAAGACCACGCUCUGCGCCGCCAUCGUCGAUCGAGAGCGUAUCGCCCUGGGAACAGAGGAAGGUCUGUUUGUAGUGGAGGUCACCAGAGAUGUGAUCGUGCGGGCGGCCGACUGCAAGAAGGUGCACCAGAUGGAGCUGAUCCCCAAAGAGAAGAUGAUGGCCCUGCUGUGUGGACGCAACAGACACGUGCACCUGCACCCCUGGGGGGUGCUGGAGGGGGCCGAGGCGGCCUUCGACAUCAAGCUGACAGAGACCAAGGGUUGCCAGGCACUGACCACGGGCGUGCUACGCCCCGGGGGACCCGCCUGCCUGCUGGCCGCCGUCAAGCGCCAGGUUCUGUGUUAUGAGAUCACCCGGGCCAAGCCGCACCACCGCAAGCUGUGGGAGGUGCAAGCCCCGGGGGUGGCCCAGUGGCUGGGCAUGGUGCGCGAGCGCCUGUGUGUGGGAUACCCCUCAGGUUUUGCCCUGUUGGCCCUCCAGGGCGAGUCGUCGCCCGUCAGCCUGGUGAGCCCCGGGGACCCGUCGCUAGCCUUCCUGGCCCAGCAGCCCCUGGAUGCGCUGCACGCCCUGGAGGUGGGCACGACCGAGCUGUUACUCUGCUUCAGCCAGCUGGGUAUCUAUGUGGACCCCACUGGGAAGAGGAGCAGGGCCCAGGAGCUGAUGUGGCCCGCCACGCCGCUCGCCUGCAGCUCCAACUCCUCCUACCUUACGGUGUACAGCGAGUAUGGGGUGGAUGUGUUUGACAUACACACCACUGAGUGGGUCCAGACAAUUUCACUGAGGAAGUUAAGGCCUCUGAAUGUGGAGGGCAGUUUGAACCUGCUGGGCUCUGAACAACCGCGCCUCAUCUACUUCAGCAACAACUCCACAGAAGGUGACCUGGCCAUCCCUGAGACAUCUGACAACAGUAAGAAGCUGAUGGUGAGAACGCGCAGUAAGAGGAAGUUCCUCUUCAAGGUCCCGGAAGAGGAGAGACUGCAGCAGAGGAGAGAGAUGCUGAGGGACCCUGAGCUUAGGUCCAAGUUGAUCUCCAACCCAAUCAACUUUAACCACGUGGCACACAUGGGCCCCGGCGACGGCAUGCAGGUCCUCAUGGAUCUGCCUCUGAGUGUGAUGCAUUCUUCUCAGGAUGACCCGGCCAAGGACAAGCCCCGCCCACUCUCCAGUAUCUCCCGGCAACAGAGGAGCAUGAGCCACAUCACCCGCACGGCCUCUGGAGGUGCAGACUUUGGAGGAGCAGGAUCGUCUCGGAACAUCUCCGACCCAGACGGGGACUUUGAGAGAGAGCCGGACUCCGACUCCACCAAGCACUCCACCCUCUCCAACAGCUCCGACCCCAGCAGCCCUCCCAGCCCCAACUCCCCCCACCGCAGCCAGCAAACACUGGAUGGCCUGGAGCACACCCUGGACGGCUGAGGAGCCCACCCACCCACACACACCUGACAUACGCACACCUUACACACACACACACACACACACACACACACACAUAAUGCGUGCUUAAUCACUCAACACCUACAUUCGACAUAGAACUUGUGUAACGCUGCAAAGUGCCAAGAACAGACUUUGUGGACAAAAUGCCACCGCUGAAGCCUUUUCUGCGUGUGACGAGCAUAGACCCUCCCAAAAAAAAAGUGAGGGGCACAUGGUUAUUUGAAGCUAACGCUAAAAAAAAAUAAUAGAAUCAGCCAGUAUAGAUUUGUUUCUGUUUUUGUUUUUCUUCAUUUCAGGCCAUAAAUGUUUCCUAUGAGUUAAGGUUAUUAUUACUUAGUUGAAAUGAUCAAUACAUAUAGGUGAGAUGGGGCUGAAUUAAAAACAGAGAUUACUGAUAGGGGGGGGGGGGGG